UACUUUUUUUUUUUUUUUUUUUUUUUUUUUUUUUUUUUUUUUUUUUUUUUUUUUGCUGUUUGUUCUUCUGAAGAAACGGUCACGAGA
This 87-nucleotide non-coding RNA is filed under the name Alexandrium minutum. The record is from RNAcentral. Lineage: Eukaryota; Dinophyceae; Gonyaulacales; Pyrocystaceae.